Molecule: ribosomal RNA, 919 nt
Filed under: Arthrobacter sp. DNB20
Lineage: Bacteria; Bacillati; Actinomycetota; Actinomycetes; Micrococcales; Micrococcaceae
Description: bacterial SSU rRNA
Rfam family: Bacterial small subunit ribosomal RNA
Source: RNAcentral
UUAUUGGGCGUAAAGAGCUCGUAGGCGGUUUGUCGCGUCUGCCGUGAAAGUCCGAGGCUCAACCUCGGAUCUGCGGUGGGUACGGGCAGACUAGAGUGAUGUAGGGGAGACUGGAAUUCCUGGUGUAGCGGUGAAAUGCGCAGAUAUCAGGAGGAACACCGAUGGCGAAGGCAGGUCUCUGGGCAUUUACUGACGCUGAGGAGCGAAAGCAUGGGGAGCGAACAGGAUUAGAUACCCUGGUAGUCCAUGCCGUAAACGUUGGGCACUAGGUGUGGGGGACAUUCCACGUUUUCCGCGCCGUAGCUAACGCAUUAAGUGCCCCGCCUGGGGAGUACGGCCGCAAGGCUAAAACUCAAAGGAAUUGACGGGGGCCCGCACAAGCGGCGGAGCAUGCGGAUUAAUUCGAUGCAACGCGAAGAACCUUACCAAGGGCUUGACAUGUGCCAGACCGCCUCAGAGAUGGGGUUUCCCUUCGGGGCUGGUUCACAGGUGGUGCAUGGUUGUCGUCAGCUCGUGUGGUGAGAUGUUGGGUUAAGUCCCGCAACGAGCGCAACCCUCGUUCCAUGUUGCCAGCACGUAGUGGUGGGGACUCAUGGGAGACUGCCGGGGUCAACUCGGAGGAAGGUGGGGAUGACGUCAAAUCAUCAUGCCCCUUAUGUCUUGGGCUUCACGCAUGCUACAAUGGCCGGUACAAUGGGUUGCGAUACUGUGAGGUGGAGCUAAUCCCUAAAAGCCGGUCUCAGUUCGGAUUGGGGUCUGCAACUCGACCCCAUGAAGUCGGAGUCGCUAGUAAUCGCAGAUCAGCAACGCUGCGGUGAAUACGUUCCCGGGCCUUGUACACACCGCCCGUCAAGUCACGAAAGUUGGUAACACCCGAAGCCGAUGGCCUAACCACCUGGUGUGGGGGGAGUCGUCGAAG